This 253-nucleotide ribosomal RNA is filed under the name uncultured bacterium. RNAcentral describes it as "partial 16S ribosomal RNA". It matches the Rfam family "Bacterial small subunit ribosomal RNA", at positions 524 to 776 of the family's 1533-position model. The record is from RNAcentral.
UACGUAGGGUGCAAGCGUUGUCCGGAAUUACUGGGCGUAAAGAGCUCGUAGGCGGUUUGUCGCGUCGUCUAUGAAAACUCGAGGCUCAACCUCGAGCUUGCAGGCGAUACGGGCAGACUUGAGUACUGCAGGGGAGACUGGAAUUCCUGGUGUAGCGGUGAAAUGCGCAGAUAUCAGGAGGAACACCGGUGGCGAAGGCGGGUCUCUGGGCCGAUACUGACGCUGAGGAGCGAAAGCGUGGGGAGCGAACAGG